UGGGGAAUUUUGCGCAAUGGGCGAAAGCCUGACGCAGCAACGCCGCGUGAGUGAAGAAGGCCUUCGGGUCGUAAAGCUCUUUCGAUCGGAGUGAAGGGUGUGCCCGCGAAUAGUCGGCACAUCUGACGGUACCGGAAGAAGAAGCACCGGCUAACUACGUGCCAGCAGCCGCGGUAAUACGUAGGGUGCGAGCGUUGUUCGGAAUCAUUGGGCGUAAAGGGCGCGUAGGCGGGCAUGAAAGUCGAUUGUGAAAGCCCCGGGCUUAACCUGGGAAUGGCAGUCGAUACUCCAUGUCUUGAGUGCUUGAGAGGGUCAUGGAAUUCCAGGUGUAGAAGUGAAAUUCGUAGAUAUCUGGAGGAACACCGGUGGCGAAGGCGGUGACCUGGUGAGACACUGACGCUGAGGCGCGAAAGUGCGGGGAUCAAACAGG
This 430-nucleotide ribosomal RNA is filed under the name uncultured bacterium. Its description in RNAcentral is "bacterial SSU rRNA". It matches the Rfam family "Bacterial small subunit ribosomal RNA", at positions 355 to 776 of the family's 1533-position model. The record is from RNAcentral.